This 92-nucleotide transfer RNA is filed under the name Methylobacterium brachythecii. Its description in RNAcentral is "tRNA-Sec". Lineage: Bacteria; Pseudomonadati; Pseudomonadota; Alphaproteobacteria; Hyphomicrobiales; Methylobacteriaceae. The record is from RNAcentral.
CGCUGGAUCGAGCGGUUUCCGCUCAUCGCCGGCUUCAGCCCGGCGCAUCUGCAGAUCGCCCGUGGGACGGUGCAGUUCCCGGUCCUGGAGGC